GUGGCAUUUUGGCUCACCAGAUUGACUUCUACUGAUUGUUUCGGGUGCUCAUCGGGACAGAACCAGACAGUACCAACACCGGAAGAUUAAAAUAUCAAAUCGAGGAGAACCAAACCUAUCUAAAUGAGUUCCAUUUAAGACUGUAAUGAUUUGCGUUUUGGAUUUCCUAAUUCUCACAAGGAGUGUGGGUAUCGAAUCAAGGGAGGACUGUGGAAAGUGUCGUAAUGAAAAGGAUUGA
Molecule: long non-coding RNA, 238 nt
Filed under: Helianthus annuus (common sunflower)
Lineage: Eukaryota; Viridiplantae; Streptophyta; Magnoliopsida; Asterales; Asteraceae
Description: sRNA HanXRQr2_Chr14g0662411
Source: RNAcentral